GGCUUCAUGGUCUAGUGGUUAUGACAUCGGAUUCUGAUUCCGGUAACCUGGGUUCAAUUCCCAGUGAGGCCU
The sequence is a transfer RNA, 72 nucleotides long. It matches the Rfam family "tRNA". From Rfam's summary of the family: Transfer RNA (tRNA) molecules are approximately 80 nucleotides in length. Their secondary structure includes four short double-helical elements and three loops (D, anti-codon, and T loops). The record is from Rfam.